AAAAUGGUGCAGGUUCCUAUGGACUCACUGGGACAUUCCUGAGUGCUCUGACAACUGUCAAGCCUUCCUUCUUCCUGAAGUCAGUGUCAGGAUUACCAGCUGUCUGCUCUGACUGAUGGCUGUUACACAGCUGUAAAGACAUGAAACUUAAUCUUCCAAGCAAAAGAGAGAACACUUUUCAUUCCGUAAAAGUUAUUCUAAGAAGAUGAA
Molecule: long non-coding RNA, 210 nt
Organism: Nothoprocta perdicaria
Lineage: Eukaryota; Metazoa; Chordata; Aves; Tinamiformes; Tinamidae
Exons: 2
Source: RefSeq, a predicted model, not a curated record